Molecule: ribosomal RNA, 1343 nt
Filed under: uncultured bacterium
Lineage: Bacteria
Description: 16S ribosomal RNA
Rfam family: Bacterial small subunit ribosomal RNA
Source: RNAcentral
GACGAACGCUGGCGGCGUGCUUAACACAUGCAAGUCGAACGGAAAGGCCCUGCUUUUGUGGGGUGCUCGAGUGGCGAACGGGUGAGUAACACGUGAGUAACCUGCCCUUGACUUUGGGAUAACUUCAGGAAACUGGGGCUAAUACCGGAUAGGAGCUCCUGCUGCAUGGUGGGGGUUGGAAAGUUUCGGCGGUUGGGGAUGGACUCGCGGCUUAUCAGCUUGUUGGUGGGGUAGUGGCUUACCAAGGCUUUGACGGGUAGCCGGCCUGAGAGGGUGACCGGCCACAUUGGGACUGAGAUACGGCCCAGACUCCUACGGGAGGCAGCAGUGGGGAAUAUUGCACAAUGGGCGGAAGCCUGAUGCAGCAACGCCGCGUGCGGGAUGACGGCCUUCGGGUUGUAAACCGCUUUCGCCUGUGACGAAGCGUGAGUGACGGUAAUGGGUAAAGAAGCACCGGCUAACUACGUGCCAGCAGCCGCGGUGAUACGUAGGGUGCGAGCGUUGUCCGGAUUUAUUGGGCGUAAAGGGCUCGUAGGUGGUUGAUCGCGUCGGAAGUGUAAUCUUGGGGCUUAACCCUGAGCGUGCUUUCGAUACGGGUUGACUUGAGGAAGGUAGGGGAGAAUGGAAUUCCUGGUGGAGCGGUGGAAUGCGCAGAUAUCAGGAGGAACACCAGUGGCGAAGGCGGUUCUCUGGGCCUUUCCUGACGCUGAGGAGCGAAAGCGUGGGGAGCGAACAGGCUUAGAUACCCUGGUAGUCCACGCUGUAAACGGUGGGUACUAGGUGUGGGGUCCAUUCCACGGGUUCCGUGCCGUAGCUAACGCUUUAAGUACCCCGCCUGGGGAGUACGGCCGCAAGACUAAAACUCAAAGGAAUUGACGGGGCCCCGCACAAGCGGCGGAGCAUGCGGAUUAAUUCGAUGCAACGCGUAGAACCUUACCUGGGUUUGACAUGGAUCGGGAGUGCUCAGAGAUGGGUGUGCCUCUUUUGGGGUCGGUUCACAGGUGGUGCAUGGCUGUCGUCAGCUCGUGUCGUGAGAUGUUGGGUUAAGUCCCGCAACGAGCGCAACCCUUGUUCACUGUUGCCAGCACGUUAUGGUGGGGACUCAGUGGAGACCGCCGGGGUCAACUCGGAGGAAGGUGGGGAUGACGUCAAGUCAUCAUGCCCCUUAUGUCCAGGGCUUCACGCAUGCUACAAUGGCUGGUACAGAGAGUGGCGAGCCUGUGAGGGUGAGCGAAUCUCGGAAAGCCGGUCUCAGUUCGGAUUGGGGUCUGCAACUCGACCUCAUGAAGUCGGAGUCGCUAGUAAUCGCAGAUCAGCAACGCUGCGGUGAAUACGUUCCCGGG